This 253-nucleotide ribosomal RNA is filed under the name uncultured bacterium. RNAcentral's name for it is "partial 16S ribosomal RNA". It matches the Rfam family "Bacterial small subunit ribosomal RNA", at positions 524 to 776 of the family's 1533-position model. The record is from RNAcentral.
UACGUAGGGUGCAAGCGUUGUCCGGAAUUAUUGGGCGUAAAGAGCUCGUAGGCGGUCUGUCGCGUCUGCUGUGAAAACUCGGGGCUUAACCCCGGGCCUGCAGUGGGUACGGGCAGACUAGAGUGCGGUAGGGGAGACUGGAAUUCCUGGUGUAGCGGUGAAAUGCGCAGAUAUCAGGAGGAACACCGGUGGCGAAGGCGGUUCUCUGGGCAUGUUCUGACGCUGAGGAGCGAAAGUGUGGGGAGCAAACAGG